This 421-nucleotide ribosomal RNA is filed under the name uncultured bacterium. RNAcentral describes it as "bacterial SSU rRNA". It matches the Rfam family "Bacterial small subunit ribosomal RNA", at positions 362 to 775 of the family's 1533-position model. The record is from RNAcentral.
UAUUGGACAAUGGGGGCAACCCUGAUCCAGCCACGCCGCGUUAGUGAAGAAGGCCUUUUGGUUGUAAAGCACUUUAAGCAGUGAAGAAGACUCCGUGGUUAAUACCCACGGACGAUGACAUUAGCUGCAGAAUAAGCACCGGCUAACUCCGUGCCAGCAGCGGCGGUAAUACAGAGGGUGCAAGCGUUAAUCGGAAUUACUGGGCGUAAAGCGAGCGUGGGUGGCUUGAUAAGUCAGAUGUGAGAUCCCCGGGCUUAACCUGGGAACUGCAUCUGAUACUGUUAGGCUAGAAUAGGUGAGAGGAAGGUAGAAUUCCAGGUGUAGCGGUGAAAUGCGUAGAGAUCUGGAGGAAUACCGAUGGCGAAGGCAGCCUUCUGGCAUCAUAUUGACACUGAGGUUCGAAAGCGUGGGUAGCAAACAG